RNAcentral lists this ribosomal RNA (472 nucleotides) under uncultured bacterium. RNAcentral describes it as "bacterial SSU rRNA". It matches the Rfam family "Bacterial small subunit ribosomal RNA", at positions 8 to 526 of the family's 1533-position model. The record is from RNAcentral.
AGAGUUUGAUCAUGGCUCAGAACGAACGCUGGCGGCAUGCCUAAUACAUGCAAGUCGAACGAUCUCUUCGGAGAUAGUGGCGCACGGGUGCGUAACGCGUGGGAAUCUGCCCUUGGGUUCGGAAUAACGUCGGGAAACUGACGCUAAUACCGGAUGAUGACGUAAGUCCAAAGAUUUAUCGCCCAGGGAUGAGCCCGCGUAGGAUUAGCUAGUUGGUGAGGUAAAGGCUCACCAAGGCGACGAUCCUUAGCUGGUCUGAGAGGAUGAUCAGCCACACUGGGACUGAGACACGGCCCAGACUCCUACGGGAGGCAGCAGUAGGGAAUAUUGGACAAUGGGCGCAAGCCUGAUCCAGCAAUGCCGCGUGAGUGAUGAAGGCCUUAGGGUUGUAAAGCUCUUUUACCCGGGAUGAUAAUGACAGUACCGGGAGAAUAAGCCCCGGCUAACUCCGUGCUAGCAGCCGCGGUAAUUC